Molecule: long non-coding RNA, 415 nt
Filed under: Ananas comosus (pineapple)
Lineage: Eukaryota; Viridiplantae; Streptophyta; Magnoliopsida; Poales; Bromeliaceae
Description: long non-coding RNA (ACOM_LNC008792)
Source: RNAcentral
GCGGCGGAGGAGGUCGACCGAGUCGGGCGCGUGGGGGUGGCGCGCGGGGUCGAACUCGCGGAAGUUGAACUCCCAGGUGACGCAGCGGCAGGCGUCGGAGAGGGUGAGGCCGAGCUGGAUGAGGUGGAGGGAGUUGACGUUGCGGCGGAGGAGGGCGUAGCGGUCGAGCGGGGAGAGGAGGGCGUGGGGGCCGCGGGGGAGGUGGACGACGCCCGGGAACUCCGUGUCCAGGGUCGCGUAGGGCAGCCGCUCCACCGCCGACCGGAUCAGCUCGAACUCCGACUCCAGGUUCUCCGCCCACACCGACCGGACCUCCACCUCCACCUGCACCUCGCCGCCCCGCUUCGCCUCCUCCACCCACGCCAUCUUCUAUCUAUUUUGCGAUUUUGAUUCUGAUUUUGGGAUUUUGAUUUUG